UUAACGAUAGCACACUAAACUCAAGUUACCUGCCAAGCCUGAAUACAAUCACAUGAUAUUCGACCCUUAAAGCUGAGAACCAAUACUUCAGAUAUGAUAAUAAACUCCUUCUAAGUACUAAAAAUCCAUACUAUAUUAUAAUUGAUUUUAUGCAGUUUCUAUGCCUUAAGAGUGACAGGAAUUUAAUUAUCACAAAAUGUAUGAUCAUCGCCUCAGCUGAAGCCAUGCAAAUCGAGGGCUCAUUAGAUUCAAAUGAACUCCUCAAAAAAAGAGUUCUACAACCCCAAUUUAAUUACAAUCUUAUAAGUCUAACUCGUUAAAUAGCAGUAUCAAGCUCAGGACAUCUCUAAAGAUUAUAAUAUGACAACAACAAAAGAAAAUGUAAAUAAGACAACACCAAAUCUAUUGCUAUGCUUUCAAGCUUUCAUUUCCAUCUUUACUCAGCGUUUAUAUCAAACAAGGCUAAAGAAAAUGUACCUGGAAAAUCAAAAUAGGAGAGAAACAAGGAAGUCAGUAGUGACCAAUAAUAGGAACAAGACCAGCCGGGUAGAUGCAAUAUCAAAUACCAACAGCCAAUAGAAUCAACCAACAGAACCAGUUUAGAACCCAAAUCGAGUAGGAAAAAUAGUAGAAAACAGUUCUUCUUUAACAUCAAACCACAACAAUUUCAAAGAAACUACCCAUAAACACCCAUUUCAAUCCAUUUUAAGACAAUGAAUCAGAAGAUCUUUCAGUUGUGGAAAGAUAUACGAGAAAUAAAUGCUCAGCCUACAAUGUCUGAUAACGGAGCUGAAGUAGUGAAUCUAUCAGCACUAAAAAUUUGGGGAAAUCACUGGACAAUCUUCAAUAUAACAGUAACUUGCUUUGAAAAUUUAUGCUCUCCUUUUGUUUUGCAAUUUUCUUUCUAAUCUCUGCAAAAAAUAGUAAAGUAUGCAACCUUUUUUUGGGGUUUUUUUGCUCUUGGAUCUCUC
This 971-nucleotide long non-coding RNA is filed under the name Nicotiana benthamiana. RNAcentral's name for it is "long non-coding RNA (NBEN_LNC024077)". Lineage: Eukaryota; Viridiplantae; Streptophyta; Magnoliopsida; Solanales; Solanaceae. The record is from RNAcentral.